RNAcentral lists this ribosomal RNA (253 nucleotides) under uncultured bacterium. RNAcentral describes it as "partial 16S ribosomal RNA". It matches the Rfam family "Bacterial small subunit ribosomal RNA", at positions 524 to 776 of the family's 1533-position model. The record is from RNAcentral.
UACGUAGGGGGCAAGCGUUGUCCGGAUUUAUUGGGCGUAAAGAGCGUGUAGGCGGUUAUACAGGUCCGCUGUGAAAACUGGAGGCUUAACCUCCAGACGUCGGUGGAAACCGUAUGACUAGAGUCCGGAAGAGGAGAGUGGAAUUCCUGGUGUAGCGGUGAAAUGCGCAGAUAUCGGGAAGAACACCCGUGGCGAAGGCGGCUCUCUGGGACGGUACUGACGCUGAGACGCGAAAGCGUGGGGAGCGAACAGG